UAACCGGUUAUCUUCCCCCAAGAGACCUACUGUUGGUCAAUCGUUUUGGCUUUAAAGGUAAAUGCAUUGUUAGUCACAAUGUCAAGUUACUGGGCCAAAAGGAAAAUAAUAUUGAAAAGAGUUGAGAGGGACAAACAGGACAUUCACUUGAAUCACUACAUGCUACAGAAGUUGCAUCGAUUCCAGAAAACCAGGAAAAUGUUGAGCCACCUGUAGACUUCAGAGCUGGUAUGUAAAAUGUAUUGCUGUGAGGCUUAAUUUGUGAUCCUGUAAUUAAACUAUACACUUUGUUAGAUUUUCACAUUUCUCCUCCAUUUCACAGAGCCAAGAGUUUGAGUACAAGUGAUGUUAUUUGUGACGUUUUUUGUCUUGGAAACUAUUGCUUCUAUUUAAGAUUAGGAAUCCUUUUAUCCAUAAUCUGUUUUUCAUUAGGGCACUUGACUUUCUGGAUAAAAGGUGUCGAGCUCGUCAAGUACUAAGCUUUACACCCCCAGCAGCAAAUUUACCCUGGCAGCAUAUUGGUGAAAACACUGGAGGUAUGUAAUACUCCAGUGUAAGACUCCAGAAUGAGAACCAAGCCCUGAGGGAAUGCAAUGCACAAGCAGCUUCAGAUGACAGCGGCUCACUUCAAGACCAGGUGAAGCAAGUAGGGACAAUGUUGAAGACGUUUGCUCUCACUGGGCAAUCAGGUGCGUUACCUGAAAGGAGCAUCUGACCGUGAAGGCAGAAAAAGGCGCCGCACAGCUGAGAGGGACCCACAGCCGACCCCUUAAACCUAGGCUGACUACUGACACCCCAGCAUCACUGAACUAGAACACUUUCUUUAUCCUGCAGUCAGAAGCCAGAAGUGCCAGACUACACUUACCAAAUCCACCCUAUUCACUGUGGAUGAUUUUUUUAUUUUUUUAUUUAAACUUUAGUAUUGGCUUAUUUCAUUCCGUCAGUGCUUAACGAUUCUAUCAUAGUUUUGUAAAUCCUAUUUCAUACAUGUUACUUGAUAUUGCACAUUAACUAGUAUCAAAAGUCUACUUUCAUUCCAUCAGUGUGCUUAACUAUUCUAUUAAUAAUAGCUUGGAAAUACUAUUUCAUACCUCUGAUACUUGAUAUUGCACAUUACCUGGUACCAAAUAUUCUACUUACUCUGUUUUUAACAUCAGCAUUUUUCAUUCCAUCACAGUGCUUAACUGUUAUUCUAUUGUUGAAUAUAGCUUGUAAAUCCUUGUGCCACAGGUCAGCAUUGCAGUUAUAAUGGUCUGUUCUACUACUGUUUUUACCUCUGUAUUUUUAUAUAAAUAUAUAUGUCAAGUUUUGUUUAUCACAGAUACAAGAGACACAGAUCUUAUUGCAGCACAGUGUGAAUCUUGUGCUCCAGGUCAGCAAUGCCAUUAUAAUGGUCUAUUCUACUCUAGAGCUUCUAAAUUAUUUCCACUUU
Molecule: long non-coding RNA, 1432 nt
Organism: Esox lucius (northern pike)
Lineage: Eukaryota; Metazoa; Chordata; Actinopteri; Esociformes; Esocidae
Source: Ensembl